RNAcentral lists this ribosomal RNA (550 nucleotides) under uncultured bacterium. Its description in RNAcentral is "bacterial SSU rRNA". It matches the Rfam family "Bacterial small subunit ribosomal RNA", at positions 355 to 896 of the family's 1533-position model. The record is from RNAcentral.
UAGGGAAUCUUCGGCAAUGGGGGGAACCCUGACCGAGCAACGCCGCGUGAGUGAAGAAGGUUCUCGGAUCGUAAAGCUCUGUUGUUAAGGAAGAACGAGUGUGAGAAUGGAAAGUUCAUACUGUGACGGUACUUAACCAGAAAGGGACGGCUAACUACGUGCCAGCAGCCGCGGUAAUACGUAGGUCCCGAGCGUUGUCCGGAUUUAUUGGGCGUAAAGCGAGCGCAGGCGGUUAGAUAAGUCUGAAGUUAAAGGCAGUGGCUCAACCAUUGUAGGCUUUGGAAACUGUUUAACUUGAGUGCAGAAGGGGUGAGUGGAAUUCCAUGUGUAGCGGUGAAAUGCGUAGAUAUAUGGAGGAACACCGGUGGCGAAAGCGGCUCUCUGGUCUGUAACUGACGCUGAGGCUCGAAAGCGUGGGGAGCGAACAGGAUUAGAUACCCUGGUAGUCCACGCCGUAAACGAUGAGUGCUAGGUGUUAGGUCCUUUCCGGGACUUAGUGCCGCAGCUAACGCAUUAAGCACUCCGCCUGGGGAGUACGACCGCAAGGUUG